Molecule: ribosomal RNA, 1698 nt
Filed under: Triticum aestivum (bread wheat)
Lineage: Eukaryota; Viridiplantae; Streptophyta; Magnoliopsida; Poales; Poaceae
Description: partial small subunit ribosomal RNA
Source: RNAcentral
GCGACUUGCAUUCGUAAGGUGGCCUCGGAGGAGUUUGGAGUGUCCAGGGGAAGGAGAAGCGAAGAUAAGGAUACCUGGUGGUGGAAUGAUGAUGUCCAGAAGGCGCUUAAAGAGAAGAAAGAUUGCUUCAGACGCCUAUACCUGGAUAGGAGUGCAGACAACAUAGAGAAGUACAAGAUGGCGAAGAAGGCCGCAAAGCGAGCUGUUGGUGAAGCAAGGGGUCGGGCAUAUGAGCACCUCUACCAACGGUUAGGCACGAAGGAAGGUGAAAGGGACAUCUAUAAGAUGGCUAAGAUCCGGGAGAGGAAGAUGAGGGAUAUUGGCCAAGUCAAAUGCAUCAAGGACGGAGCAGGCCAACUCUUGGUGAAGGACGAAGAGAUUAAGCAUAGAUGGCGGGAGUACUUCGACAAGCUGUUCAAUGGGGAGAAUGAGAGUUCUACCAUUGAACUGAAUGACUCCUUUCAUGAGACCAGCAUGCGUUUUGUGCGGCGCAUCCAGGAGUCUGAGGUGAAGGAGGCUUUAAAAAGGAUGAAAGGAGGCAAGGCGAUGGGCCCUGAUUGUAUCCCCAUUGAGGUGUGGAAAGGUCUCGGGGACAUAGCGAUAGUAUGGCUAACCAAGCUUUUCAACCUCAUUUUUCGGGCAAACAAGAUGCCAAAAGAAUGGAGACGGAGUAUAUUAGUACCAAUCUUCAAGAACAAGGGGGAUGUUCAGAGUUGUACUAAUUACCGUGGAAUUAAGCUGAUGAGCCAUACAAUGAAGCUAUGGGAGAGAGUCAUUGAGCACCGCUUAAGAAGAAUGACAAGCGUGACCAAAAAUCAGUUUGGUUUCAUGCCUGGGAGGUCGACCAUGGAAGCCAUUUUCUUGGUACGACAACUUAUGGAGAGAUAUAGGGAGCAUAAGAAGGACUUGCAUAUGGUGUUCAUUGACUUGGAGAAGGCCUAUGAUAAGAUACCGCGGAAUGUCAUGUGGUGGGCCUUGGAGAAACACAAAGUCCCAGCAAAGUACAUUACCCUCAUCAAGGACAUGUACAAUAAUGUUGUGACAAGUGUUCGAACAAGUGAUGUCGACAUCGAUGACUUCCCGAUUAAGAUAGGACUACAUCAGGGGUCAGCUUUGAGCCCUUAUCUUUUUGCAUUGGUGAUGGAUGAGGUCACAAGGGGUAUACAAGGAGAUAUCCCAUGGUGUAUGCUCUUUGCGGAUGAUGUGGUGCUAGUUGACGAUAGUCGGACGGGGGUAAAUAGGAAGUUAGAGUUAUGGAGACAAACCUUGGAAUCGAAAGGGUUUAGGCUUAGUAGAACUAAAACCGAGUACAUGAUGUGCGGUUUCAGUACUACUAGCUGUGAGGAGGAGGAGGUUAGCCUUGAUGGCCAGGUGGUACCUCGGAAGGACACCUUUCGGUAUUUGGGGUCAAUGUUGCAGGAGGAUGGGGGUAUUGAUGAAGAUGUGAACCAUCGAAUCAAAGCCGGAUGGAUGAAGUGGCGCCAAGCUUCUGGCAUUCUCUGUGACAAGAGAGUGCCACAAAAGGUAAAAGGCAAGUUCUACAGGACGGCGGUUCGACCCGCAAUGUUGUAUGGCGCGGAGUGUUGGCCGACUAAAAGGCGGCAUGUUCAACAGUUAGGUGUGGCGGAGAUGCGUAUGUUGAGAUGGAUGUGUGGCCACACGAGGAAGGAUCGAGUCCGGAAUGAUGAUAUACGAGAU